This 1254-nucleotide long non-coding RNA is filed under the name Marmota monax (woodchuck). The record is from RNAcentral. Lineage: Eukaryota; Metazoa; Chordata; Mammalia; Rodentia; Sciuridae.
CGCUGCUACUCCAGGUCCCGCUGCUGAGCGAGAGCCCAGGUUGCUUGCCACGCGAUGCCACAGGGUCAACAUCAAGGAGGUUGGGAGAUGGUGAGUGCGCGGCUCUGCGCCCCGAAGGGAGGAUGUGGAACCAGAGCUGGAUGUGGUGGGAGCAGGAAGUGGUGGCCGGGACUGCGCGGUCCCCUCUGGAGUCCGGAGUGCUGCUCUGGGGCGGCUCAGCUCCCAGUUCCCUCUGGCGUUUCAGGCGGGUGGAGUCAGCAGCUGGACGCUGUACGUCCUGUCCCCUUCCUACCCCGUGUGUUGGCUUCAGCCCCUCGCGUUCUGUCCCCUCCCCGUGUGGUGGCGUCAGUCCCUGGGGUCCUGUUCCCUCCCCGCGCCAUGUGGUGGCUUCAGCCCCCCGGGUCCUGUCCCCUCCCUUGGUACUUGGUUAAGCCUAGACCGUUUCUCUCCCAGCACUAGGUAAAGGAAGAUGCAAACCACAGGACAAUGUAGUUAGGGUGCCCUAUGUGUGGUCCCAAUCUUCCUCACUCAGGUGACACUGAUUCUUGGUGAUUCUGUCCCAGUGAUAUGGCACACGUCCUAAGGCUGGACUCAUGCCCAACUCCACCACAGCUUUUCUUACUCAUUUGAUGUCAGGUAUUUUUUUUUUUUCAGUUGUGCAAUGUAUGUCUUUGAACUCAUUUAUAGCUUUGUCUAAGGGGGACUUGAAGCACAAGAUGUUCAACAAAGUGUCCAUGGAUGCAGGGAGAAUCAGGACUCACCUAUUCCGCCGUAUGUUCAACUUCACCCCCUUGACAUCUGACUUUUAUGGUGAUGGUGGGGUUCCACCCCAGACCUUGCACAUUCUGCACACACACUGCCCAAGUACUUACCUUUACAUUUGGGCAUUAUCAUCCAUUCACGUUUAAUCUUAUCCUCAAUGAGGUUGGAUUUAUAUAGGCCUUUCUACUUCAUCGUACUAAAAAUACAAAGUUCAGGUAUGGAUUUUGUUUGUAUUAUGAUCUCUUGGUCUUUAUUAUUACAAAGUUAUAGUUUCAUAAUAUACAUCAGGGUCAGGAAAAGACAACUUCUUUUGCUCUUGUAAUUCAGAAAUUUCUUGGCUGAUUUCAUAUAUAUUUAACUUCCAGAUGGAUUUUAGAACUUUUUGCUUUGGUCCCUUCUUCAACUAAAAAUGAAGAGGCUGUUGGUCAGUGGUAGAGCGCUUGACUAGCACAUGUGAGGCACUGGGUUCGAUCCUCAGCAUCACAUAAAAAU